AUCAGAGUGCAACCUCCACUGACAGAAUAUCGAUAUACUAGUGCAUAACCUCUACUGACAAGGUAUCGAUGUACCAACAUAUAACCACCACUAGCAGGAUGUCGAUAAACCAGUGCACAACCUUCACUGAUAGAAUAUCAAUAUACUAGUAUAUAACUUCUACUGACAGGAUAUCAAUGUACCAGUACAUAACUUUCACUAGUAGGAUAUCAAUAUAUCAGUGCAUAAUCCCCACUGAAAGGGUAUCGACAUACCAGUGCACAAACUCCACUGACAA
This 277-nucleotide long non-coding RNA is filed under the name Elaeis guineensis (African oil palm). RNAcentral's name for it is "long non-coding RNA (EGUI_LNC041676)". Lineage: Eukaryota; Viridiplantae; Streptophyta; Magnoliopsida; Arecales; Arecaceae. The record is from RNAcentral.